This 950-nucleotide ribosomal RNA is filed under the name Levilactobacillus brevis. RNAcentral's name for it is "bacterial SSU rRNA". It matches the Rfam family "Bacterial small subunit ribosomal RNA", at positions 35 to 942 of the family's 1533-position model. The record is from RNAcentral. Lineage: Bacteria; Bacillati; Bacillota; Bacilli; Lactobacillales; Lactobacillaceae.
GCCCAUGGCGGCUGCCUAUACUGCAAGUCGAACGAGCUUCCGUUGAAUGACGUGCUUGCACUGAUUUUAACAAUGAAGCGAGUGGCGAACUGGUGAGUAACACGUGGGAAAUCUGCCCAGAAGCAGGGGAUAACACUUGGAAACAGGUGCUAAUACCGUAUAACAACAAAAUCCGCAUGGAUUUUGUUUGAAAGGUGGCUUCGGCUAUCACUUCUGGAUGAUCCCGCGGCGUAUUAGUUAGUUGGUGAGGUAAAGGCCCACCAAGACGAUGAUACGUAGCCGACCUGAGAGGGUAAUCGGCCACAUUGGGACUGAGACACGGCCCAAACUCCUACGGGAGGCAGCAGUAGGGAAUCUUCCACAAUGGACGAAAGUCUGAUGGAGCAAUGCCGCGUGAGUGAAGAAGGGUUUCGGCUCGUAAAACUCUGUUGUUAAAGAAGAACACCUUUGAGAGUAACUGUUCAAGGGUUGACGGUAUUUAACCAGAAAGCCACGGCUAACUACGUGCCAGCAGCCGCGGUAAUACGUAGGUGGCAAGCGUUGUCCGGAUUUAUUGGGCGUAAAGCGAGCGCAGGCGGUUUUUUAAGUCUGAUGUGAAAGCCUUCGGCUUAACCGGAGAAGUGCAUCGGAAACUGGGAGACUUGAGUGCAGAAGAGGACAGUGGAACUCCAUGUGUAGCGGUGGAAUGCGUAGAUAUAUGGAAGAACACCAGUGGCGAAGGCGGCUGUCUAGUCUGUAACUGACGCUGAGGCUCGAAAGCAUGGGUAGCGAACAGGAUUAGAUACCCUGGUAGUCCAUGCCGUAAACGAUGAGUGCUAAGUGUUGGGAGGGUUUCCGCCCUUCAGUGCUGCAGCUAACGCAUUAAGCACUCCGCCUGGGGGAGUACGACCGCGAGGGUUGAAACUCAAAAGGAAUUGACGGGGGGCCCCCCACAAGCGGGGGGAGCAUGG